This is a non-coding RNA of Mya arenaria, 74 nucleotides long. The record is from the annotation of a RefSeq genome assembly. NCBI's taxonomy places the organism in Eukaryota, Metazoa, Mollusca, Bivalvia, Myida, Myidae.
GCCUGGUUAGCUCAGUUGGUUAGAGCUCUGUACUCGUGUUCCGGUGGUUGUGGGUUUGAGUCCCACACCAGGCG